Molecule: non-coding RNA, 638 nt
Organism: Caretta caretta (loggerhead turtle)
Lineage: Eukaryota; Metazoa; Chordata; Testudines; Cheloniidae
Source: RefSeq, a predicted model, not a curated record
GCCGCAGCAGCAGGACCGGCUCAGCGGCGGCCCCUCGAAGCCCUGCCCCAGGCGCGGGACUCGCACCAUGGCUCCGUGCGGGAGCGGCUGGCUGGCCAACGAGGGGAGCAAGCACCUCUCUCUGCUUUUCUGGCUCUCCCUGAAUGUGUGGCUCUUCUGGAAAACCUUCCUGCUGUAUUACCAUGGGCCGCAGUACUACUACUUACAUCAGAUGCUAGGUAUGAUACAAUGGCUUGAGAUCUCAUUUGCUGCUGCUUUAUCAUGAUAAAGACUUUGCUAUUUGAGGCCAAGUUUCUCCCUGCAAAUUUCUGGUGCAACUCCACUGAAGUCUGUUUUUCCCACUACAGUCUGGAGGGAAUUAGGCAUCUUGAAACUUUGUUUGCUUUAUCGUACUAUUUUGUAUUUAAUUGCCUCGUAACCAAAGGAUGCCAGAUGUGUUUAUUAGUCUGCUUCUUCCAGUAGGUGUUUCGUGUAGCAAAAAUUGUUACUAGACGCUUUUAUUUUUUCCUUUGUUAUUUAAGCUCCUCUUCCUGUAUUGGGAUUUCACAAUAUUGUUUAAGGGUUUAACUCAUGUGUCCAAUUAUCAACAUAGUCCGUGUCUGAUUUGGAGGCAAUUUGCUGCCUAUUAUAUUGUUCUG